This 94-nucleotide ribosomal RNA is filed under the name Mus pahari (shrew mouse). RNAcentral's name for it is "rRNA (MGP_PahariEiJ_G0032606.1)". The record is from RNAcentral. Lineage: Eukaryota; Metazoa; Chordata; Mammalia; Rodentia; Muridae.
UGUUUACAGCCAUACUACCCUGAAAAUGCCCCCAUCUUGGAAGCUAAACAAGGUUGAGUCUGGGUAGUUCUUGGUGGAAGAUCUGCAGUUCUAC